CGGGGUGAGUAACGCGUGAGGAACCUGCCUUUCAGAGGGGGACAACAGUUGGAAACGACUGCUAAUACCGCAUAACACAUAGGUGUCGCAUGGCAUUUAUGUCAAAGAUUUAUCGCUGAAAGAUGGCCUCGCGUCUGAUUAGCUAGUUGGUAGGGUAACGGCCUACCAAGGCGACGAUCAGUAGCCGGACUGAGAGGUUGGCCGGCCACAUUGGGACUGAGAUACGGCCCAGACUCCUACGGAAGGCAGCAG
This 252-nucleotide ribosomal RNA is filed under the name uncultured bacterium. RNAcentral describes it as "partial 16S ribosomal RNA". It matches the Rfam family "Bacterial small subunit ribosomal RNA", at positions 100 to 354 of the family's 1533-position model. The record is from RNAcentral.